This 494-nucleotide unclassified non-coding RNA is filed under the name Hevea brasiliensis (rubber tree). Lineage: Eukaryota; Viridiplantae; Streptophyta; Magnoliopsida; Malpighiales; Euphorbiaceae. The record is from RNAcentral.
GAGUGGAUGAAAUCAUGUUUGGAAGAACAUCCGAUGUUUGAGGCACUUACUAGUGAAGAACUUGAAGCUGAUCAGGUUGUAAAGCUCCUUAGUGCUGCAACUGAAGAAGGACAAAAGGUAGCACGUAACGGUGGACAGACAUUCCGAGCUGUUUUUAGAAGAAUUGUAGCUCACUGAAUGGUAUGGUCAAAUUCUAGGGAUUUUUCGUACCUCCUGUUUUCUGGUAAGCGAUGAGAUAUCCUCCGUCUUCUGUUGUUGAGUUAAUAGAAAUGUGGUUACCGCAACUAAAAUUAUAGAUACUUUGUGACUGAUCGCUGAGAUUAAUGACCAUUCUGUGCCAUUUUCUUGAUUUUGAUCGUUCCAUUCUUGAGAAUGCAGUUAGUUUAUCAUUCAUGAAGGCAGCUCAUCCCCACUUUUCUAAACCUGAUAAUGCAUUGUUUAUCAUGGAUAUGCUCAACAAUUAGAUUCGCAAGAAUGUUUUGCUAUUGUAUUUU